RNAcentral lists this ribosomal RNA (442 nucleotides) under uncultured bacterium. Its description in RNAcentral is "partial 16S ribosomal RNA". It matches the Rfam family "Bacterial small subunit ribosomal RNA", at positions 338 to 795 of the family's 1533-position model. The record is from RNAcentral.
ACUACGGGUGGCAGCAGUAGGGAAUCUUUCACAAUGGGCGAAAGCCUGAUGGAGCAACGCCGCGUGCAGGAUGAAGGCCUUCGGGUUGUAAACUGCUUUUAUAAGCGAGAAAUAUGAUGGUAACUUAUGAAUAAGGAUCGGCUAACUACGUGCCAGCAGCCGCGGUCAUACGUAGGAGCCGAGCAUUAUCCGGAGUGACUGGGGGUAAAGAGUUGCGUAGGUGGCAUAAUAAGUAGCUAGUGAAAUCUGGUUGCUCAACCAUUCAGACUAUUAGCUAAACUGUUAAGCUCGAGACCGUUAGGGGUAACUGGAAUUUAUAGUGUAGGAGUGAAAUCCGUAGAUAGUAGAAGGAACACCAAUAGCGUAGGCAGGUUACUGGGACGGUUCUGACACUAAGGCACGAAAGCGUAGGGAGCAAACGGGAUUAGAUACCCGAGUAGUC